AAGUAAAAGUCGUAACAAGGUUUCCGUAGGUGAACCUGCGGAAGGAUCAUUAACAAAUGUAAUCCAAUUACCAACCACACUGUGCACUGUUAACGUAUGCUUUGGUAGGGAAUGAAAUGGCGGGUGCUCUCGGGCGCCAGUCUUUCGAUCUGCCAGAGUUUUUUAAAUACUAAACAAACAAACGUCUUAUUAUCUGACUGAACUUCAUUUAAACAAAUGAAAAUACAACUUUUAACAAUGGAUCUCUUGGCUCUUGCAUCGAUGAAGAACGCAGC
This 275-nucleotide unclassified non-coding RNA is filed under the name uncultured fungus. RNAcentral's name for it is "sequence contains 18S rRNA gene, ITS1, 5.8S rRNA gene". The stretch from base 1 to 52 matches the Rfam family "Eukaryotic small subunit ribosomal RNA", at positions 1780 to 1831 of the family's 1831-position model. The record is from RNAcentral. Lineage: Eukaryota; Fungi.